RNAcentral lists this unclassified non-coding RNA (233 nucleotides) under Melilotus italicus. RNAcentral's name for it is "ITS1". The record is from RNAcentral. Lineage: Eukaryota; Viridiplantae; Streptophyta; Magnoliopsida; Fabales; Fabaceae.
UGCCUUACAUGCAGUCCAACACGUGAAUCAGUUUGAACACAUAGGGGUGGGUUGAGGUGUUAACCACCUCCGCCUACCUCGGGUUCAGAGGUGGACGACUCGUGCGUUCCUCCUCUGUGCCAAAAAACCAAACCCCGGCGCUGAAUGCGUCAAGGAAUUAAAAUUUUGCUCUGAGCGCACUUGCAUGGCAUCGGAGACGGUGUUCGUGCGGGUUACGUUUUGACACAUUAUAU